GAUAGGAAGUUCCCUUCGGGGCUUUCUACAAGGUGCUGCAUGGUUGUCGUCAGCUCGUGCCGUGAGGUGUCGGGUUAAGGUCCCAUAACGAGCGCAACCCUUAUCGUUAGUUGCCAUCUGGUAAAGCAGGGGACGUCUAGCGAAACUGCCACCGUAAGGUGAGAGGAAGGUGGGAUGACGUCAAAUCAGCACGGCCCUUAUGUCCAGGGCUACACACGUGUUACAAUGGUCGGUACAGAGGGCAGCUACCUGGUGACAGGAUGCUAAUCUACGAAAACCGGCCUCAGUUCGGAUCGAAGUCUGCAACUCGACUUCGUGAAGCUGGAUUCGCUAGUAAUCGCGCAUCAGCCAUGGCGCGGUGAAUACGUUCCCGGGCCUU
This 379-nucleotide ribosomal RNA is filed under the name uncultured Sphingobacteriales bacterium. RNAcentral describes it as "bacterial SSU rRNA". It matches the Rfam family "Bacterial small subunit ribosomal RNA", at positions 1005 to 1382 of the family's 1533-position model. Lineage: Bacteria; Pseudomonadati; Bacteroidota; Sphingobacteriia; Sphingobacteriales. The record is from RNAcentral.